RNAcentral lists this ribosomal RNA (403 nucleotides) under uncultured bacterium. RNAcentral's name for it is "partial 16S ribosomal RNA". It matches the Rfam family "Bacterial small subunit ribosomal RNA", at positions 30 to 526 of the family's 1533-position model. The record is from RNAcentral.
AUUGAACGCUGGCGGCAGGCCUAACACAUGCAAGUCGAGCGAGCGGCGGACGGGUGAGUAAUGUAUGGGGACUGCCCGAUAGAGGGGGAUAACUACUGGAAACGGUGGCUAAUACCGCAUACUAUCGGAUAACCACAAUGGGUUUAGCUAGUAGUUGGGGUAACGGCUCACCAAGGCGACGAUCUCUAGCUGGUCUGGAAGGAUGAUCAGCCACACUGGGACUGAGACACGGCCCAGAUUCCUACGGAGGCAUCAGUGGGGAAUAUUGAACAAUGGGCGCAAGCCUGAUGCAGCCAUGCCGCGUGUAUGAAGAAGGCCUUAGGGUUGUAAAGUACUUUCAGCGGGGAGGCGUUACCCGCAGAAGAAGCACCGGCUAACUCCGUGCCAGCAGCCGCGGUAAUUC